This 227-nucleotide unclassified non-coding RNA is filed under the name Hevea brasiliensis (rubber tree). Lineage: Eukaryota; Viridiplantae; Streptophyta; Magnoliopsida; Malpighiales; Euphorbiaceae. The record is from RNAcentral.
CUGGCGGGUACGGUUACGGCGACGCUGUCAACGGAUUCGGGCAGCCGCAGCUGAAGGAGUAUGAUCAGAGGAUGCUGGUGGAGGUCUACAAGUCUAUUCUUGUUCAGGGGCACCCGUUCGCGGCGGCAAAUGCCGGCGCGGUUGCUGUACAUCUGUAGUGGCGGUGUUGGCGACGGUGACGGCGGCGGUGGUAGGUGAUUCGUAUCUUCUGUGAUUUGAUGUUUGGG